AUACGAAGGGUGAAAGCGUUACUCGGAAUUAUUGGGCGUAAAGCGCGCGCAGGUGGUUCCUUAAGUCUGAUGUGAAAGCCCCCGGCUCAACCGGGGAGGGUCAUUGGAAACUGGGGAACUUGAGUGAAGAAGAGGAUAGUGGAAUUCCAAGCGUCGAGGUGAAAUGCGUAGAGAUUUGGAGGAACACCAGUGGCGAAGGCGACUGUCUGGUCUGUAACUGACACUGAGGCGCGAAAGCGUGGGGAGCAAACAGGAUUAGAUACCCUGGUAGUCCACGCCGUAAACGAUGAGUGCUAAGUGUUGGGGGGUUUCCGCCCCUCAGUGCUGCAGCUAACGCAUUAAGCACUCCGCCUGGGGAGUACGGUCGCAAGACUGAAACUCAAAGGAAUUGACGGGG
RNAcentral lists this ribosomal RNA (397 nucleotides) under uncultured bacterium. RNAcentral's name for it is "partial 16S ribosomal RNA". It matches the Rfam family "Bacterial small subunit ribosomal RNA", at positions 523 to 918 of the family's 1533-position model. The record is from RNAcentral.